GUUGGUGGAGUGAUUUGUCUGGUUAAUUCCGUUAACGAACGAGACCUUAGCCUACUAACUAGUCGAUGCAAUCCCGAUUGCCUUCGACUUCUUAGAGGGACUUUGUGGCCAAACACAAGGAAGUUUGAGGCAAUAACAGGUCU
This 143-nucleotide ribosomal RNA is filed under the name Ciliophora sp. RNAcentral describes it as "partial small subunit ribosomal RNA". It matches the Rfam family "Eukaryotic small subunit ribosomal RNA", at positions 1297 to 1463 of the family's 1831-position model. Lineage: Eukaryota; Ciliophora. The record is from RNAcentral.